GGAGAGGUGUCGGAGUGGCUGAUCGAGCUGGUUUCGAAAACCAGUGUGCGUUUUUGCGUACCGCGGGUUCGAAUCCCGCCCUCUCCG
This 87-nucleotide transfer RNA is filed under the name Phycisphaerae bacterium. RNAcentral's name for it is "tRNA-Ser". It matches the Rfam family "tRNA". Rfam says of the family: Transfer RNA (tRNA) molecules are approximately 80 nucleotides in length. Their secondary structure includes four short double-helical elements and three loops (D, anti-codon, and T loops). Lineage: Bacteria; Pseudomonadati; Planctomycetota; Phycisphaerae. The record is from RNAcentral. RNAcentral also lists the same sequence under 1 other name.